UGGGGAAUAUUGGACAAUGGGCGAAAGCCUGAUCCAGCAAUGCCGCGUGAGUGAUGAAGGCCUUAGGGUUGUAAAGCUCUUUUACCCGGGAUGAUAAUGACAGUACCGGGAGAAUAAGCCCCGGCUAACUCCGUGCCAGCAGCCGCGGUAAUACGGAGGGGGCUAGCGUUGUUCGGAAUUACUGGGCGUAAAGCGCGCGUAGGCGGCUUUGUAAGUUAGAGGUGAAAGCCCGGAGCUCAACUCCGGAACUGCCUUUAAGACUGCAUCGCUAGAAUCGUGGAGAGGUGAGUGGAAUUCCGAGUGUAGAGGUGAAAUUCGUAGAUAUUCGGAAGAACACCAGUGGCGAAGGCGACUCACUGGACACGUAUUGACGCUGAGGUGCGAAAGCGUGGGGAGCAAACA
RNAcentral lists this ribosomal RNA (402 nucleotides) under uncultured bacterium. RNAcentral's name for it is "bacterial SSU rRNA". It matches the Rfam family "Bacterial small subunit ribosomal RNA", at positions 355 to 774 of the family's 1533-position model. The record is from RNAcentral.